This is a long non-coding RNA of Aplysia californica (California sea hare), 2212 nucleotides long. RefSeq lists it as uncharacterized. Lineage: Eukaryota; Metazoa; Mollusca; Gastropoda; Aplysiida; Aplysiidae. The record is from RefSeq and is a predicted model, not a curated record. The transcript has 3 exons.
ACUAUCGGGACGGUCACAGGCCGCGCGUGUCGCUCUGUCUGCCCGCCACUACCAGAGGACGCCAGACGACCGUUUCCCGCGCUCUCCCAUUCAGCCCCGGAUACAACAACACAUUCCCGCCACAAGGGGAAGUCAUUUCACGGGGGAUAACUCUGCAUAACGACUUCGCUUUGCCCGGUUCCUGAUGGAGAGUUAUUGUUCUGGGAUUACUUUGAUGGUCAUUACACGCUGCCAUUUUCCAGACACAAGUGUUAGAUAUUGCUGGACCUAAUAAAGCGGGAAGCUACACGUGCAUACUACGGUCUGCUAAGAGAUAGUUUAGUUUUACAUCUCUGCUUAGUUAUAAUUUAGGUUCAGUUAAAAACUAUCAGAUUAAUUUUCAGGGUAGGUUGACUUAAUGCUAAUCUAUAGUUAAAUUGCGUUGUCUGCCCAGGUUCAGCUUAGUUUAGUUGUUUGAAUACUCGUAAUUUCAAUUAUCUGUCUACUUGGUACUAAUCGAAUUCAGUAGUCAGCUUUGUUUUUGCUUACUUAAAAAAACAACAACUUGUUUUCUUCGUUUUAGUUGAAUUUAGAUGUCUGCUCGCGCAUGACAAUCCUUACCACAAAAGAGGAAAUAAUGAUCUUGUUUUAGGUGAACAGUAUUGUCAGGAAUUAUCCACACAAGUUAUGACAAAAUGAAAGAAGAAUUACCCCAAACUGCUUGUAACCAAUUAAUGUUUUAGAACUACAUGUAAAUAUAUUUUUUUUAAUCUAAAAAAGGCUACUCAGAUUAAUGAAGAGAAAUAAUUUUGCUCAGACAAAUAGAUUAUGAGGCUAAACGUUUGGGAUAGUAUCCAUAAGACGGGUACCUCUGGAAUUUUAGAAUUUGCUGAAUUUGUGCGACUUUUUUUCAUUCUAAGUUAAGGUCAAGCCUCGAAAAUCGAUCUCUUUGGAUAUUUUCCCUUUUCCAUUAAGCUUACUUGGGGUGUCGCAUACGGGAUCUGUCUUCCACAGGAAGUAGUACUCCAGGGGCAGACACGUUUUGUUCCAAUACAGAAUAGGCUCAGAUAAAUUGUACAACACGUUUUACGUGUUUUGGGAUUUAGCUAGUUACCUUUAUUUAGGACUGUUCGGAUUGGUUGCAACAAGGACUUAUUACUCUUUCAUGGAUGUGUGCUUCUAAAAUUGAGGAACUCACAGAAACAAUAAGAUAACUUUAUCUAACGUCUGCGAGAGGAGUAACGGUCUGCAUCUCUAGACCCCAGAAAAACAAAAACAAAACAUGACAAGAUUUGUAGGCCUGGACCAAGAUGGAAAUCAGAACGUAAUUAUCUCCAAACCCCUACCCGCAACCCACCCAACCCACCCCUAUCCUUUUCCACACCCCUUAUUUCCCGCCUCAGCCAGUUCCGUGGAUUGCUUUCGCGCGGUCAUUCACCCCUGAGAAGUGGGCGUUCACCAGAAGGCUCGGCAGACUAUCUCUGAUUUCGAUCUGGCUUCUCCAGAUAGUUUCGUGUUUUAGUUUUUAGGUUUCGUGAGAUUUUUCUGGCACGCAUAUAGGGUCAUAGAAGUGUCGAAAAGUCGAUGUUUUAUUAGAGAGUAACAAGCAAACAAAAAGAAGGAGGAUUCAUAAGGGCAAUAGAUGUUUGAGAGGAAAGAAGGAACAAACCACACCAAAGCACCCGCCAACUACCCAGCAGAUUUGUUGAAAGUGUUAAGAUGGACAGUUAAGAGGGGAAAGAAGUUCGGUGAGAAAGAAGAGUUCUCACACAUAGAGUCGGAAUACAAGUAUAAUGUAUAAAAAUUAAGUCCGAAUAUCGAGAAAUUCGUCAAUCGAGGGCAAAAAAAAGAGUUCCUGUCAUGAUGGUGGCAACCGUUCUGCACACAAAGAAGGAUAUUUACACACACAAUAGAAAUACAAGUACACCAGUGCAAACAAACUACAAAACCCAACAAGUCCGUAGUUCGAGAAGUUAUUAUAUUCAGUAAAUUGAGGAAUAACGAUUGACCUUCCGAGUAAUUUGAACAGAGCUGAAAAACCGUAUACUGUAAGUAAGUCGCUCCUGUAAUUGCUUCAUUGGGGAGGUGAUUGUCCCGUUGUGGCUACAAUCCUGGGUGUUUUCAUUCUUGGAUAAUGAGAUAGGUGUCCUGUGCGGAUUAAGCUAGUGUAUUAUUUCAAAUUUUUCCUUCUUCAGAUCAAACGAAGUCUCCCCCCCAAAAAAACAAACAAAAA